GUAGGGAAUCUUCCACAAUGGACGAAAGUCUGAUGGAGCAACGCCGCGUGAGUGAAGAAGGUUCUCGGAUCGUAAAACUCUGUUGUGAGGGAAGAACAAGUACCGGAGUAACUGCCGGUACCUUGACGGUACCUCAUUAGAAAGCCACGGCUAACUACGUGCCAGCAGCCGCGGUAAUACGUAGGUGGCAAGCGUUGUCCGGAAUCAUUGGGCGUAAAGCGCGCGCAGGCGGUCCCUUAAGUCUGAUGUGAAAGCCCACGGCUCAACCGUGGAGGGUCAUUGGAAACUGGGGGACUUGAGUGCAGAAGAGGAAAGCGGAAUUCCAAGUGUAGCGGUGAAAUGCAUAGAGAUUUGGAGGAACACCAGUGGCGAAGGCGGCUUUCUGGUCUGUAACUGACGCUGAGGCGCGAAAGCGUGGGGAGCAAACAGGAUUAGAUACCCGGGUAGUCC
Molecule: ribosomal RNA, 450 nt
Filed under: uncultured bacterium
Lineage: Bacteria
Description: partial 16S ribosomal RNA
Rfam family: Bacterial small subunit ribosomal RNA
Source: RNAcentral